This is an RNA transcript of Salvia splendens (bonfire salvia), 1922 nucleotides long. RefSeq lists it as uncharacterized. NCBI's taxonomy places the organism in Eukaryota, Viridiplantae, Streptophyta, Magnoliopsida, Lamiales, Lamiaceae. The transcript has 5 exons. The record is from RefSeq and is a predicted model, not a curated record.
AAAUUUCAAUUCCCGAGUCAAGACUUAAAAAGGAGCGGAUCCUAUUCGGGUCAAAGUUCCAAUCCGGGUCAUAAUUAUUUUUCUCAACUCUGUCUGCCUCUUCUCCUCUCUCGCGACUUUCCCUUUCCUAUGCAGAUUUGCCUCAGCCCUCCAUCUUUGUUCAAACGAUUCAUCAAGAUAUGGAAUGCAUAUGCUGAACAUCUCAAAGAUGUUGGAUUGAUUUCCGCAUCAAAUUGGGAGGAAUUUUGUUUGAGAUUAUGGCCGCAAUACCCAUCUCUCCGUCCAGCCACUGCUGUUCUACAUCUUCGGCUUGUUCCAAUUCAUCCUCUAUUUGGUCACACCAAAAUCCCAUUUAUUUUCUAUUUCAUGCCACUUCUCCUAAACCCAAAUACUGUUCUCUGCAAUGGAAGGGAACUCAUCUUGGAAGCCCAGAUCCAAAAGGGUGCUUCAUACAUGGACAUCCAUGAGUCUGACUCCGAUGAUGGAAGAGACGAUGAGAGUUCCUUCGACUAAGAUAUUCACUAUUCUUCAAGUUGUGAAAUUUUCUCAUUAGUCAGUCAAUGACAUGAACAAUGCAUGGUGAAAGAGCCCAGUCUUGACUUUUCCAUAGCAGGCGAGUUAUAUAUAAGACGGCUCUAUUAUGGAAGUGACAGAACUUGUAAGGAAUAGCUUAGAUUGACUAGGCAUUGCUUUACUGUGCUAUGUUUUAAGUUAAAAGAGAGAGGUUUGAAAACUACAAGAAAUAUCACGGUUGAUGAAGUAGUAGCCAUGUUUCUAUAUGUCAUCUCUUUUAAUUUAACAAACCGUAAAGUCGGCUUUGAUUUCAUUAGAUCUGGAGAGACUGUUAGUAGAUACUUCCAUAUAGUUUAAAUACUAUACUAAAAUUAGGAAGUCAUUAUGUUCUCAACGAGAAACAAUCAUGGAAGGCUUCGAAGAUGAAAAAUGGGAUUGGUUUGAAGCAAGUAUUAUUCUAUUUGUUUUUUUUUAAUUUAUCUAAAAUUAUACGAACUAAUUAGUAGUUUCGUGACGUAGAACUGUCUCGGGGCACUUGAUGGAACACACGUUGAAGUAAGUGUUUCAUUGAAAGAUCAAGGAAGAUAUAGAAAUAGAAAGGGUAGGAUAACAACCAAUCUUUUGGCUGUGUGUUCUCAUGACUUGAGGGUUUACAUAUAUUUUACCUAGAUGGGAAGGAUCUGCAACAGAUAGCAGAGUAUUACGAGAUGCACUUACUAGAAAUGAUCCGUUCAUAGUACCUAAAGAUAAGUAUUUUCUGGUAGAUGCUGGAUAUACCAAUGGACCUGGCUUUCUAGCUCCUUAUAGAGGUAUUCAAUACCAUCUCAAUGAGUGGUCCACUAGAGGAAACAAUCCACAAAAUCCAAAGGAGUUAUACAACCCGAGACAUGCAACUGCUAGGAAUGUGAUAUAAAGAGCUUUUGGGUUAUUCAAAAAACGAAGGAAAAUUCUUAGAGAAGUAUCCUUUUUUGAUGUCAAAACGCAUGUGAUGAUCAUCAAUGUUUGUGCUAUUCUUCACAAUCUUAUUCGAGUAGAAGCACCUAAUGAUCCAUUGUUGGAUGAAGUGGAUGCUGAGAUUCAAACUAGAGUUACUCAACAAGGUGAUGAUCAUAAUGAGGGGGAAGAGAAUCAACCAACUUUGCCGGGUGAUUAUCAUACUGCGGAAGAGACUCAACACUCGGAUCGAAUUACAGUUGUUCAAGUUACUAAUGAGUGGACUAGAUUUCGGUAUAGUUUAGCCGAAGCUAUGUUUCUUCAUUAUCAAAAUAGGCGUAACUUUUAGUGUCGUGCUUAUGAAACUAAAUAUGUAAUAGAAUUGGUUUUUUGGUACAAUGUUUUGUGGUCCUUAUUAGACUAAAGCUCAACUUGAUAAGAUGUCUUUCAAUUUGAUCUUUGUUUGAAUUUGAAUA